AUCUGCAAUGCGUCAAGCUGUUGAGAAGUCAAGCAAUGGCAUUCUGUCGGAUAUAUUGAAAUGUCUUGGGGACAACAGGAAGCACAUGAGAGUAUGUGUACUGAAUACUCUUGACUCUUAGCUUUGCUGCUGUUCAUCUUGAUAAUAUGGUUCCUUAUGUUGCAAUUGCUUUGGUGGAUUCUAAACUUGGUGCAGAAGGGCGUAAAGAUCUUUUUGAUUGGUUAUCUAGGCAACUUUCUGGGUUAUGUAGUUUUGCUGAAGCUGCUCAACUGCUGAAGCCAGCCUCUUCUGCAAUGGGAGAUAAAUCCUCUGAUGUUUGCAAGGCGACAUAGACUUGUUUUAAUGCCGGUUUUUCGUUCCUUGUUUCCUCAACAUUCAUGUGAUACCAAGUUUAAUUAAAUUGCUUGUUUAUUUAGACUGAAAAGAUUGUUAUGACAUUCAUAGACCAGCACUGACAGUUGUUCUUGAGAAGAUAAAACCAUAUGGAGCUUUUCAAUGUGCAUAUAUUGUAGAUAAAGCAAGCUGCAUAAGGAACACAAGAAGUCCCAGGACUUGUUGAAGCUCAUGUCCAUGGAACAGAAGAUGUGCGGGAAUCGCUCAAGACUGGAAAUAGAGUUUGGCUCCACCUUUGCCAAUGAGCUUAGCAGCUGUUCAUGUUGGGUAAUGAAAACCCGUAAAUUUGUUAUAAUAAAAGGCAGAAAAGGCCAAACACGACGAGAAGGAAACAAAGAAGAUACAUGAUAGCCUGCAAAAUUUGCAACUCAGACUUGCUGAGAGAGAAUACCAUUGUAAAAUCUUUCAAGAAAAGGUACGGUAUCUGGAGAAUCAAGUAGCAGAAGAAAAAAAACUAGACUAAAGCAAGAAAAACAAGACCACCACCUGUAAAAUCAACAACACAGGAAGUUCUACGAUGGAUCAGAAACAUAGUUCAGGAGUUUGGAAUUCCAAACAUCACUUUCACCACUACUAAAGUUGAAGAUCUGUUCCUCUUCAGUAGUGUUUUCUGCCUAGUGUAGGUUAAAUGCUCCCUAACCUUAGUUGCACCGGCAAAAUUUCCCAUAUCCUCAGGUCAACGUAUCAUCAUUGAAAACCAAUGCAUCUUCAGUUCAGCUAGUUGGGAUGGGUAUUUACUUGCACUAUCCUUGGUUAUCACAUCAAUAGUUAAAUGGAACAAAAACAAUGGGCAGCUAGUACUUUCAAAGAAGGUCAUUGUUCUCUGCAAUGGUGUGGAUGGAAUAUAUUUUCCAAGCCUUGACUUGAUGUGCUAUGUGUAGAUGGGUUGAAGAUUGGGACUACAACAAAAUUAUAAUCUGUGUCAGACCACAUUGGGUCACUCAUUCCUGGAAUUUAAAAAGCAUUAAAUGACAAAUCAUCUACCUCAAUUUUGAAGCCCUGAUAUUCUUGUUCGUUAUGAUCGUACUCUUCUUGUUGCUGAUCCUAGACGCUGUAAGCCUGAAGUUUGGUGGUCGUGGUACUCGUGCUGGGUUCCAGAAAUCUUACCGUUAAAUUGUUUUUGGUAUUAUUCAGAUGUUAUUGCGUUUAUGUUUUUCAAUACUCUUUGAAAUCUCUAUGCACUGUUUUAAUUGAGGUUUGGUGGUUUUGAAAAAUAAAAUAAAAAUGAAAUGAUGAAAUGGCUGAGCAGAGAGAGUUUUUCAAUACUCUCUUUCUUCAUUCUGAUUCAUUCAGCCGCAUAGAUUUCGAGUUUCUUGAUGAUUUAGCAAUUGAGAGACAGUUGCGGAUACCGUCACAGUUAAUUGAAGUGCGACUUCCGCUGAUCCACUCUCACCCUAGGGGUACGAUUCUAUCUCUCUUUCUCUGAUACAUUCCAUUCUCCGACGUAUAAUUUAAAACAAAUUAAUUGAUAAAUCUUCGCUUUAGGUUUAUGAUUAUGAUGACGCAUUGCUUAUAAAUCUCCAAUCAAGGUCUUUUGUAUGAAUGCUUAUUUUCAAUUCAAUUGGUUUGUUUAUUUGUCUGUUUGUUGCUUCUCAUAUUCCCUAACUAACUAACAACAUUCCAAAUUACUCAUACAACAACAGCGCCGCUGCAAAAAUGGCCAUUUCUGAUUUGCUUAAUGAGUUGACCAAACCCACUUUUAUGACCGAUCCUGAUCUUGAACUCAAAUUGAAAAUUAUCAACAUACAACAACUUGACGAUGCUGCUGGUGAUGUGUCCGGACUUGCUGUCAAAUGCCUUGCUCCGUUAGUGAGGAAGAUGAAUGAGCCAAUGGUUGUCGAAAUGAGCAGUCAACUGUGUGACAAAAUACUAAACGGGAAGGAUCAACAUUGGGUCAACAUUGGGACACUGCUGCUAGCAUUGCUUUGAAGACUGUUGUUGCUGAUGUUUCUACCCAAUCCCUAGCACAUUCUAUUCUUUCCGUUCUCUCACCACAAUUGAUAAAAGGAUUUACCGGCAAAGUAAGUCCUUCAAACUUACCAACCCAUCUGUGCUCAUUCCGCCUUUACCAACUUCCAUUCUCUCAUCUAUAUUUCUCUCUAAUGUAUGCAUUUAGAUUAUUCAGUUUGUACCUUUUGGUCUCUCACCUACUAACUUCUUUCCUUCCUUUUUUUAUUAUUCUAUUGGGGACAAAAUCUGACUUUGUUGUAUGAUCGAGCCCUAAACUAUACCCCAAUCGUGUCAGAUAGUUGUAUUUCACUUUUUUCUUUGUCCUGCGAGCAGUAACCAAAGCCGCAGAUUAUCUCGAGCAGGCUGAGUACAACAAGUACAAUCAGGCAUGCAGCCGGUUGUGACUAAUGCAACUGCUGCUAAUAUGCCUUUGUGCCAACAAAUGGCUUCUUCACAAUCAAAAUAUAUAAGGGUCUGGGAGGUAUGUCCACUUCUUUCUUAAACCUAAAGAUUAAAGUCUAUCUUUCUGAUUUUUCAACAGUGUCUAGAAGUUUCUCAAGAAUUUCAGUAUAUGUCCACUUGUCUCUCUCUCUUUUUUUUUUUUUUUUAAUGAUUCAAGACUCUAAUUCUUUUUUAUGAUUCAAAAAUUGGUGGGUUGGCCAUACCAUAGGUGAUUUUUAGAAAACAUUCGUUAACUUUUUUUUUGUUACAAAAAAACAUUUGUUAAUUUAAUUAAAAAAACUGUAUAUUGGUAAAAACAUGUGACUAUUUAUUUAAUUAUUUUAGUACUCUACAAUUUUCUGAAUUCUUGGUCUUUAAUUAAUAAAAUAUUUAAAUUAGUUUCCGACAUUUUUAAAUCAAUGAUAAAUUAGUUUUUUUUUUGUCAAAUAGCCCAGUGACUAGAAAUUUCACCCUUAAGGUGGAUAAGUAGAAUGAUCGGGGUUCGAAACCCCGAUCCCCUGCAUAUAUAAUGCAAUGUCCUACCAACUGAGUUAUAUGUUCACGGGACAAAUUAGUCUUUUUAUUAGAAUAAAUUAUGAAUUAAUUUGUUCCUUAAAAAUGUCAGAGACAAUUUAUUCUAGCAUAAAAAUGUCAGAGAUUAAUUUAAAUCUUUUAUUCGUUAAGGAUUGAAUCUAUGAUAAAAAAGUUGUGACAGAACAAAAUAAGUCUUCACUAUAACUUUUUAAUAACUACAAGUAAAAAAAAAAGAUAAAAAUAUUUUUUUUAUGAUUGUAAACAAUCGGAAAAUAGAAAAAUCUCUAGAUUUUUUUGGAAAAAAUCAUUUUUUUUAAAGCUUAAACAACAGGCCCUUAAUCACCUACAUUUUUUACAGAUUAAACACUUCACUCUCUCUCUCUUUCUCUCUCAAACCCAAACUCGCUUUCACCACAACCAUUCUUCCCAAGUGAUGGACCUCACUCUUCUAUUCACACGACGUUCUCCGCUUUGAUAUAACAACUUCUUGAAUCAAGACGCAACUUCUUUCGAUAAAUUCUGUGGUUUUGUCGAUAAUCUCAUGCAAUGAGGUUUUUUGUUCUCUCUCUAUUGAAACUUUUUUCUUCGCAAUGAUUUUUCCAUAUUUUGUAUUGUUCUCUUUUUAAUUUGUCGUUACUUAUAUUAUGAUGAUUUAAGGUUUUGAAUUUCUGUCUUCUUCUCCCCUUUUCUGUUUUUCUUUGAAUCAGAUUUAGGGUUUGUGUUCUUUAUCUUUUGUUAAAAUGUUUGGUGCACCGGGAAUCUUUGGACCACAACGCAAACCCAACAAAACAAAACCCUUUUCUUUAAUCUUCUAAAAAUUGAAUCUUUUCAUCUACGCAAUUCUUGAAUCGUUUUUUUUUUUUGUUCUGGGUUUUUCUUAAAUUCUAAAAAGAUCUGAUUUUUAUUCUUGAUUUGUUUGAAACGCGUUGUUUCAUGAUCUGGUUCUGAUUGAAAUUGUUGUUUGGUUUUGAUAAUGAGGAUAAGAGAGUGGGAAAAUCCUUGUGGUGUAUGUGAGCACUAUCACAAACAUGAAUAAGGUGAAGUGUGUUCGAUUUGUGGUCAUAUGGUUCCGGUUGGAUCGGAGAAAACUUCUGUACAAGUUAGGCUUUUCCUUCUUUGAUCUUACCGGAGUUUCUUUACUUGGGAAGUUAUGAUAACGCUGCACGUUCAAAACUCAAGGGAUUUCACGUAUCCUCCAGUCUUGUCAAAAUCUCUAAAAAACUCAUUUACCUAUCACUGCCUCCCAGAUGACAAAACUUUCCAAUUUGAUGAAGGAUAAGGAGUGUGUUCGAUUUGUGGUCAUAUGGUUCCGGUUGGAUCGGAGAAAACUUCUGUACAAGUUAGGCUUUUCCUUCUUUGAUCUUACCGGAGUUUCUUUACUUGGGAAGUUAUGAUAACGCUGCACGUUCAAAACUCAAGGGAUUUCACGUAUCCUCCAGUCUUGUCAAAAUCUCUAAAAAACUCAUUUACCUAUCACUGCCUCCCAGAUGACAAAACUUUCCAAUUUGAUGAAGGAUAAGGAGCGUGUUCUGGUUCAUUGCAUGUCAGGAAAGAGUAGGUCCCCAGCCGUUGUGAGCGGCUAAGCGGCUACCUGAUGAAGUCUAGAGGAUGGAGACUUGCACAGAGUUAUCAGUGGUUAAAGGAAUGCAGAACUUCCGUUGAAUUAUCUGAAGGUGCCUACCAUUCGGAUCAGUCGGCAACUCGAUACUCUCUGCUGGUUUCUGACCUGCAGCAGGACCAUCUUCAAUUAGCUUUGGCUUCCCAAAAAUCAACAAACUACCUCAACUUCAUGCCUUCGGCUCCAAUACAUCUCCUUCAAUUUUUGCCCGAGCACCGUCCAACAUAGCUCCUUCGGACUUCACAUUCGGAGCUGGUCAGAAUGUUACCGGAAAUCCUUUCAAUACAAAUCCAUCUAAUCCUAAUGCUACCGAUAUUCAAAUUGAUUGAUCUUGAUUCUUACUAGUCGCAACAACAUCUGUGUGAUUAAGCAACUUGACGAUUUUGGCUUUGUGGUAGGUAAAGUUCAGUACAGGUACAUCUAGUUUGCCCUGUUUCAUGUCAAGGUGCAAAAAUAAUAAGUAAACUUGUCAAUUCUAUAGUUCUUUUUCUGAGAUCUUCAUUUCAAAUAAUUUCUCAUUAGUUAUUAAUCACUAUGGUUGUAGUAUUGAGUUAUAUAAAGUUUUAGUGGCAUUGUGUCUCUACUUUGGUAGAUUGGAACUGAACUUCAUCAAGUUUCUUUUUCUUGUUACAAGCUAUACUUUAUAAAAGUAUACAAAACUAGACCCCCCCAAAAAAAACAUAUUUAACAUCAUUUAUGUGUUUUUUUUUUGUUUCUAUCAGAUUUAGGGUUUUUGUUCCUCCAUGUCUUUGAUUAUGAUAUGAUGAUGAUUUAGGUUUUUGUUCCUCUAUGUCUUUGAUUAUGAUAUGAUGAUGAUUUAGGUUUUGCAAGUUUUAAUGUCUUGCAACAAUCCAAUUUUAGGCACUCGUUCUCUGUUAAAUUUUGAACUCAUUGGAUUUUGUUAUAUCAGCAGAACUGUUCUUUGUUUAGUUUAGUGUGCUGCAGGUUAUACGGGGCUCAUAUUAUGAUAAUUCCAAUUUCCAUUGCAACUGUUGUGAUCCCGAAUCUCUGUCAAUUUCUGAUGAGUUAAUUGAAGUUACUACUUGCAACCAUUCAUUGAUAUAAGGAAAUAGUCUUUCUGGGCUGAAAAGUUUUCUGGUCUAAAGAGGAAGUUAGUUGAUGUAGUAGGAAAAUGCAAAGGUCUACAGUCAGUGCUGUACAUAUUAAUUGUGUCAGAUUAGAGAAGCUACUCUUUUUGCCUUGUCCUCUCUUUCAGAACAACUGCUUGAGACACAGGAGUCAGGGUUUCGGACAAGUAACUUGAAGAACAUGAUUGAACAGAUUGUUGCCGAGGACUUUCUAAUAGAUUCUCUUCAAUACCCCUUUCUAUAUGCUUGUAUCUUUACUUCAGUUGCCAAAUUCUCCUCUGUGAUAAGCAAUGAAGUACUAGAGCACUCGCUUACCAAAAAAAAAAAAAAAAGUACUAGAGCACUCUCUUGAUGCUGCACUAAAGGCAAUUACAAUGAAUGUGCCUCCACCUGUAAAAAAGUAAGAAAUUGUCCUACCACAGUUAUUCGGUUUAUUUUCAUCCCUCACGGAUCUUCUUAAUCAUGCAUCAGAUGAAACCUUGCAUACCUUAAUAUGGUUUCCAGGCAUCAGAUGAAACCUUGCAUAUACUACUUGAAAUGUUGCAAGAAGCAGUAAAGGCAGGUUAGGAAUAUCUUUCUCUGGUGUGUGUGUGUUUCUGGUCUAGUCAAACUUCCACACAUAUAGAUAAAUUGGCUGAUAACAUAUAUGUUAAUGUUAAAUAUCUCUAUGGAAAUCGCUAAUUUACUCUUCCUAUCCCCACACAAUUGACUUUUUUUUUUUUUUCUUUCUUUUUUGUAAUACAAAUAACUGUUUGGUUCAAAUGCUCGCUGAGAAAUUUGGCCUUUUCAUUCAAUAACCAAGAGGUUGUUUUUUCUCAAAAUAAAUCUAUUGCUACAUCAGUAUAGGAUGAUGUUUUAAUGUCUUGUAUAUUUGCUUAUGGGCAAACUGGAACCGGUAAAACAUUUACCAUGGACACCAGAAGAGAGGGGAGUUAAUUACCGAACACUUGAAGAAUUGUUUAGGAUAUCCGAAGAGAGAAAGGGUGUAAUGAAGUAUGACUUACAUGUUAGUAUGUUGGAGGUUUACAAUGACCAGAUAAGAGAUCUUCUAGUGGAAAACUCUACCCAGCCUACUAAGAACCUGCAUUGCUGAGUGCUCUUGACACAGAAUAUGAGAAGAACCUAUUUGAGGGAGCAUCUACAAUGCCCAGAAAACUGUCAGGGCAUCAGAUUCGUCCUCAUCCGUGGUGGCUGGUGGGCUGGAUAGCUUGCAUCGUGAAGAUAUUAGUGGAAAGGUUACUCCGACUCGCUUGAAGAGUUUCGAAAGCCCUGAUUGGAAGGGGACGACUCAAUGAUAGCAACAAAAACCAAGUCAUGGCUACCUUGACAACAAUUGGUAAUGUUGCAUCUGCAAUGCGUCAAGCUGUUGAGAAGUCAAGCAAAGGCAUAUUGAAAUGUUUUGGGGACAACAGGAAGCACAUG
Molecule: RNA transcript, 7446 nt
Organism: Trifolium pratense (red clover)
Lineage: Eukaryota; Viridiplantae; Streptophyta; Magnoliopsida; Fabales; Fabaceae
Gene name: protein MOR1-like
Exons: 26
Source: RefSeq, a predicted model, not a curated record